Molecule: ribosomal RNA, 497 nt
Filed under: uncultured bacterium
Lineage: Bacteria
Description: partial 16S ribosomal RNA
Rfam family: Bacterial small subunit ribosomal RNA
Source: RNAcentral
GACGAACGCUGGCGGCGUGCCUAAUACAUGCAAGUAGAACGCUGAAGAGAGGAGCUUGCUCUUCUUGGAUGGGUUGCGAACGGGUGAGUAACGCGUAGGUAACCUGCCUUGUAGCGGGGGAUAACUAUUGGAAACGAUAGCUAAUACCGCAUAACAAUGGAUGACACAUGUCAUUUAUUUGAAAGGGGCAAUUGCUCCACUACAAGAUGGACCUGCGUUGUAUUAGCUAGUAGGUGAGGUAAUGGCUCACCUAGGCGACGAUACAUAGCCGACCUGGAGGGGUGGACGGCCACACUGGGACUGAGACACGGCCCAGACUCCUACGGGAGGCAGCAGUAGGGAAUCUUCGGCAAUGGGGGCAACCCUGACCGAGCAACGCCGCGUGAGUGAAGAAGGUUUUCGGAUCGUAAAGCUCUGUUGUAAGUCAAGAACGGGUGUGAGAGUGGAAAGUUCACACUGUGACGGUAGCUUACCAGAAAGGGACGGCUAACUACGUG